RNAcentral lists this transfer RNA (75 nucleotides) under Pseudomonadota bacterium. RNAcentral describes it as "tRNA-Lys". It matches the Rfam family "tRNA". Rfam says of the family: Transfer RNA (tRNA) molecules are approximately 80 nucleotides in length. Their secondary structure includes four short double-helical elements and three loops (D, anti-codon, and T loops). Lineage: Bacteria; Pseudomonadati; Pseudomonadota. RNAcentral also lists the same sequence under 1 other name. The record is from RNAcentral.
GGGCCGGUAGCUCAGCGGUAGAGCACGGGACUUUUAAUCUCGUGGCCGAGGGUUCGAAUCCCUCCCGGCUCACCA